Molecule: small RNA, 27 nt
Filed under: Bombyx mori (domestic silkworm)
Lineage: Eukaryota; Metazoa; Arthropoda; Insecta; Lepidoptera; Bombycidae
Description: ovarian small RNA-19779
Source: RNAcentral
UAAUGGACUAUAUUUCUUCGACGUAAC